UUGAUCAUGGCUCAGAGCGAACGCUGGCGGCAGGCCUAACACAUGCAAGUCGAACGGAUCCUUCGGGAUUAGUGGCGGACGGGUGAGUAACACGUGGGAACGUGCCCUUUGGUUCGGAACAACUCAGGGAAACUUGAGCUAAUACCGGAUGUGCCCUUCGGGGGAAAGAUUUAUCGCCAUUGGAGCGGCCCACGUCUGAUUAGCUAGUUGGUGGGGUAAAGGCCCACCAAGGCGACGAUCAGUAGCUGGUCUGAGAGGAUGAUCAGCCACAUUGGGACUGAGACACGGCCCAAACUCCUACGGGAGGCAGCAGUGGGGAAUCUUGCGCAAUGGGCGAAAGCCUGACGCAGCCAUGCCGCGUGAAUGAUGAAGGUCUUAGGAUUGUAAAAUUCUUUCACCGGGGACGAUAAUGACGGUACCGGAGAAGAAGCCCCGGCUAACUUUCGUGUCACCAGCCCGCGU
This 462-nucleotide ribosomal RNA is filed under the name uncultured Caulobacter sp. Its description in RNAcentral is "bacterial SSU rRNA". It matches the Rfam family "Bacterial small subunit ribosomal RNA", at positions 13 to 521 of the family's 1533-position model. Lineage: Bacteria; Pseudomonadati; Pseudomonadota; Alphaproteobacteria; Caulobacterales; Caulobacteraceae. The record is from RNAcentral.